This 1468-nucleotide ribosomal RNA is filed under the name metagenome. RNAcentral describes it as "bacterial SSU rRNA". It matches the Rfam family "Bacterial small subunit ribosomal RNA". The record is from RNAcentral.
AGAGUUUGAUCCUGGCUCAGAACGAACGCUGGCGGCGUGCUUAACACAUGCAAGUCGCACGAGAAAAUUCCCUUCGGGGGAUGAGUAAAGUGGCGCACGGGUUAGUAACACGUGGAUAACCUACCUCCGGGAGGGGCACAACCUGUCGAAAGACGGGCUAAUACCCCGUAAGACCACAGUACCUUUGGGUACAGAGGUAAAAGAUGGCCUCUUCUUGAAAGCUAUCGCCUGGGGAUGGGUCUGCGUACCAUUAGCUUGUUAGUGAGGUAACGGCUCACCAAGGCAAAGAUGGUUAGCUGGUCUGAGAGGACGACCAGCAACACUGGAACUGAGACACGGUCCAGACUCCUACGGGAGGCAGCAGUGGGGAAUAUUGGACAAUGGGCGAAAGCCUGAUCCAGCAACGCCGCGUGAGUGAUGAAGGCCCUCGGGUUGUAAAGCUCUGUCAGAUGGAACGAAUAACGGUGACCUAAUACGUCACCAGAUGACGGUACCACCAAAGGAAGCACCGGCUAACUCUGUGCCAGCAGCCGCGGUAAGACAGAGGGUGCAAGCGUUGUUCGGAAUCACUGGGCGUAAAGGGGGUGUAGGCGGCAAAGUAUGUCCGGUGUGAAAUCCCUCGGCUCAACUGAGGAACUGCAUCGGAAACUACUUGGCUAGAGUGCGAGAGAGGGUGGUGGAAUUCCUAGUGUAGAGGUGAAAUUCGUAGAUACUAGGAGGAACACCUGAGGCGAAGGCGGCCACCUGGCUCGCAACCGACGCUGAGACGCGAAAGCGUGGGGAGCGAACAGGAUUAGAUACCCUGGUAGUCCACGCGGUAAACGAUGAUCACUAGGUGUCGAGAGAAUUGACCCUCCCGGUACCGCAGCUAACGCAUUAAGUGAUCCGCCUGGGGAGUACGGCCGCAAGGCUAAAACUCAAAGGAAUUGACGGGGGCCCGCACAAGCGGUGGAGUAUGUGGUUUAAUUCGACGCAACGCGAAGGACCUUACCUGGACUAGAAAUCAACUGGACGUCCUGCAGAAACGUAGGAUUUUCCCGCAGGGGAACCGGUUGACAGGUGCUGCAUGGCUGUCGUCAGCUCGUGUCGUGAGAUGUUGGGUUAAGUCCCGCAACGAGCGCAACCCUUGUCUCUUGUUGCCAUCAUUAAGUUGGGGACUCUAGGGAGACUGCCGGUGUCAAACCGGAGGAAGGUGGGGAUGACGUCAAGUCCUCAUGGCCCUUGAUGUCCAGGGCUACACACGUACUACAAUGGUCGGUACAAAGCGUUGCCAACCCGCGAGGGGGAGCUAAUCGCAAAAAGCCGGCCUCAGUUCGGAUCGAAGGCUGCAAUUCGCCUUCAUGAAGUUGGAAUCGCUAGUAAUCGCGGAUCAGCAAGCCGCGGUGAAUACGUUCCCGGGCCUUGUACACACCGCCCGUCACACCACGAAAGUCAUUUGGACCAGAAGUCAUUGGGUCUACUGAUGCCG